RNAcentral lists this ribosomal RNA (907 nucleotides) under uncultured Bacillota bacterium. RNAcentral describes it as "bacterial SSU rRNA". It matches the Rfam family "Bacterial small subunit ribosomal RNA", at positions 60 to 943 of the family's 1533-position model. The record is from RNAcentral. Lineage: Bacteria; Bacillati; Bacillota.
AGUCGAACGCGAAAGUUCCCUUCGGGGGGCGAGUAGAGUGGCGCACGGGUGAGUAACACGUAGGUAAUCUACCUUUGGAUUGGGAAUAACAACCGGAAACGGUUGCUAAUACCGAAUAAUGCAGCGGCACCUAAUGGUGACAGUUGUUAAAGCGGGGGAUCGCAAGACCUCGCGUCUGAAGAGGAGCCUGCGGCAGAUUAGCUAGUUGGUAAGGUAACGGCUUACCAAGGCGAUGAUCUGUAGCCGGCCUGAGAGGGCGGUCGGCCACACUGACACUGACAUACGGGUCAGACUCCUACGGGAGGCAGCAGUCGGGAAUUUUGGGCAAUGGGCGAAAGCCUGACCCAGCAACGCCGCGUGAAGGAUGAAAUCCUUCGGGAUGUAAACUUCGCAAGAACGGGAAGAAUAAGUAAGGGUUAAUAUCCCUUAUGAUGACGGUACUGUUUGUAAGCUCCGGCUAACUCCGUGCCAGCAGCCGCGGUAAUACGGGGGGAGCAAGCGUUGUUCGGAUUUACUGGGCGUAAAGGGCGCGUAGGCGGCCACCGCAAGUCGGUUGUGAAAUCUCCGGGCUUAACCCGGAAAGGUCAAUCGAUACUGCGGGGCUAGAGUGCAGAAGGGGCAACUGGAAUUCUCGGUGUAGCGGUGAAAUGCGUAGAUAUCGAGAGGAACACCUGCGGCGAAGGCGGGUUGCUGGGCUGACACUGACGCUGAAGCGCGAAAGCUAGGGGAGCGAACGGGAUUAGAUACCCCGGUAGUCCUAGCCUUAAACGAUGAAUGCUUGGUGUCUGGGGUUUUAUAGUCCCCGGGUGCCGUCGCUAACGCUUUAAGCAUUCCGCCUGGGGAGUACGGUCGCAAGACUGAAACUCAAAGGAAUUGACGGGGACCCGCACAAGCGGUGAAGCAUGUG